This 721-nucleotide ribosomal RNA is filed under the name uncultured archaeon. Its description in RNAcentral is "bacterial SSU rRNA". It matches the Rfam family "Archaeal small subunit ribosomal RNA", at positions 149 to 867 of the family's 1478-position model. The record is from RNAcentral.
AUUCCCGAUAGGCGAGGGACGCUGGGAUGCUUCCUCGCCCAAAGCUCCGGCGCCCAGGGAUGGGACUGCGGUCUAUCAGGCUGUUGGUGGUGUAACGGACCACCAAACCUACGACGGGUACAGGCGAUGGGAGUCGGAGCCUGGAGAUGGGGACUGAGACAAGGCCCCAGGCCCUACGGGGCGCAGCAGGCGCGAAAACUCCGCAAUGCGCGUAAGCGUGACGGGGGGACCCCAAGUGCCGUUGGUCUUUUGAUCGACGGCUUUUAGGAAGUCUAUGAAGCUUCCAGAAUAAGGGCUGGGUAAGACUGGUGCCAGCCGCCGCGGUAACACCAGCAGCCCAAGUGGUGGCCACGAUUAUUGGGCCUAAAGCGCUCGUAGCCGGGUCAGCAAGUCCCUUGUGAAAUCGGGCCGCCUAACGGUUCGGCGUGCAAGGGAUACUGUUGGUCUUGAGGCCGGGAGAGGUCGGAGGUACUCCUGGGGUAGCGGUGAAAUGCUCUAAUCCUGGGGGGACCACCAGUGGCGAAGGCGUCCGACCAGAACGGACCUGACGGUGAGGGGCGAAGGCUAGGGGAGCGAACGGGAUUAGAUACCCCGGUAGUCCCAGCCGUAAACGAUGCGGGCUAGGUGUUGGGGUGGCUACGUGCCACUUCAGUGCCGCAGGGAAGCCAUUAAGCCCGCCGCCUGGGGAGUACGGCCGCAAGGCUGAAACUUAAAGGAAUUG